UACAGAGGGUGCAAGCGUUGUCCGGAAUUACUGGGCGUAAAGGGCGCGUAGGCGGCCCGAUAAGUAGGACGUGAAAUCCCGUGGCUUAACCACGGAACUGCGUUCUAGACUGUCAGGCUUGAGCACGGUAGAGGCAGAUGGAAUUCCCGGUGUAGCGGUGGAAUGCGUAGAGAUCGGGAAGAACACCAGUGGCGAAGGCGGUCUGCUGGGCCGUUGCUGACGCUGAGGCGCGACAGCGUGGGGAGCAAACAGG
RNAcentral lists this ribosomal RNA (253 nucleotides) under uncultured bacterium. RNAcentral describes it as "partial 16S ribosomal RNA". It matches the Rfam family "Bacterial small subunit ribosomal RNA", at positions 524 to 776 of the family's 1533-position model. The record is from RNAcentral.